Molecule: ribosomal RNA, 508 nt
Filed under: Anachauliodes laboissierei
Lineage: Eukaryota; Metazoa; Arthropoda; Insecta; Megaloptera; Corydalidae
Description: partial 16S ribosomal RNA
Rfam family: Bacterial large subunit ribosomal RNA
Source: RNAcentral
GUCUUUUUGAUUAUAAUUUAAAGUCUAACCUGCCCACUGAAUUUUUUAAAGGGCCGCGGUAUUUUGACUGUGCAAAGGUAGCAUAAUCAUUAGUCUUUUAAUUGAAGGCUUGUAUGAAUGGUUGGAUGAGGUAAUAACUGUCUCAAAUUAAUAAAUAAUAAAAUUUUAUUUUUAAGUUAAAAAGCUUAAAUAUAAUUAGAGGACGAGAAGACCCUAUAGAUCUUUAUAAAUUAAUAAAUUUUAAUUUUUUAGUUAAAAUAUGUUUUUAUCUGUUAAUUUAUUUUAUUGGGGUGAUAAAAAAAUUUAAAAAACUUUUUUUUUAAUUAAACAAUGAUUUUUGAUUAAUUGAUCCAUUAUUAGUGAUUAAAAGAAUAAGUUACCUUAGGGAUAACAGCGUAAUUUUUUUGAAGAGUUCAUAUCGAUAAAAAAGAUUGCGACCUCGAUGUUGAAUUAAAGGUUAAUUUUAGGUGUAGAAGUUUAAAGUUUUGGUCUGUUCGACCAUUAAAUC